UUGAAGUGAGAAUGGAAAUUUUCAUAUCGGCAUCUUUAUAUAAGGCCUUCUCUGUCUUUGAAAUAGGGCCAAAAAUAAGCAAACAUGCAGUCAUCGAUGCUGAUGCAACACGAUUGACGCUUGUGGCCGCCGGCUGGAGGGCUUUCAGGCAAAGGACAAUGGUGGCGUGCAAGGACAACCAAGGAGAUCACCUCCACCUACUUUCGGCUGUUUGUGUGCAGGUCUCUCUUCAUUGGUGAACUAUUUGAUCUGCAUCCCAUCUGAAUGGGUACAUUACACAUCCGGCUUCAGCCAUUAGCUCUGCUCUGGUAGAACCUAUUGCUCACCCCACAAUCUGAUAGUACAACAUUUAGCUCACUCCACAAUUUGAUAGUACAACAUUUUGCAUAUACCAACAAAACCUCCAUGUUCAGUUGUAGUUGUAGUGUAGUAGUUCGUCGCUGAAUUGUGUUGCCCUUUGCUUCUGGAUAUAGAACUACAUAUCACAUGGACCUCUCCCUGAAAGCAAGCAAACAUUUGUUACUUGUGAUGUGUGGCUUGUCAUUUCUCUUUUAGAAUUUUAGAAAUGGUACAAGCAUACAAGUUAAUGUAAAAGGGUUAAUAAGAACUACACAAAUGGAGGCAAAGUUUAGUUGAACAAUUUUUGUCGCUAAUGUAUUUUGUCUUGUAUACUAUAUUGUCGUGUUUUUAUGUAAUUGGGAUUUUGUUCUGAAAGAAAAUAAAUAUAGAUGUGUUAAGUU
Triticum dicoccoides is the source of this 740-nucleotide long non-coding RNA. RefSeq lists it as uncharacterized. Lineage: Eukaryota; Viridiplantae; Streptophyta; Magnoliopsida; Poales; Poaceae. The transcript is spliced from 2 exons. The record is from RefSeq and is a predicted model, not a curated record.